UUUUUUUUUUUUUUGAGUCGGUUUUUAUUUAUUUACUUUAAUUUAUUUUGCUAUGAUUGUGACUCAGAAAUUUCUGAUCUUCCUCUACAUCUAUCUAAAUGCCCAGGGUCAUAUCCAGCUGAUGAUGCAAAAGUAAUCCUGCAGAGGCAAAUCUUUUCAGUACUGAAACUGGGAUAAUUUUCAUUAAAGACGUAAAGAUUUAAAGAGCAGUAGAGACAUGAGAGGAAGUAUAGUUACAUGUGAUUCUGUAGGAGAGUCAGACUCUCCACCUCUUGGCUUGGGAAGGGUGACAUACUAGUACUAUGUAACAACUAGCUAUCCAGAAUAAAAAAGUGUACCUGUAAGCACACUCAUAAGUUCGUAAUAAAUGUCACCCACAUAAAGAAUAUGUAAGACAACUCAUAUUAAAACACACAUUCCAUUCAUCAAUUAUAUUGUAAUUGAUAAUACAAUAAUUACCAUCACACCAAAAGUUUUCGAUUUUGUCAAACUCCUGUUUCCAUAGCAACAUUUGAUUGCAACUGACAAAGGAGAGAGAGUAGGUCCGCCUCUUGAAGCUGGCUGAUAGCUGCUUCAUUUAUGUAAAGACCAAAGCAAACACUACCACAUCUCAAACCCUUGCUUGUCAGCCAUCGAUGUAAGCAACCUGUUUGUUGAAACAUUUUUUUUAAUCCUAGAAGAAAAUAUCCUUGACUUUUAAAUUUUUUUUAUUAUUAUUUAUUUAUUUAUUUAUUUAUUUAUUUAAUUUUUAGUGCAGUUCCCAGUGUGAUGUCUACAGGCACAGCACAGUUCUUAUCUGUGCUGUUGAGUGCUCCAGUCACUUUUGUAAGACUUUAGUUAGACAUUGCUUUCAUGGGCUGUCUUCAGAACAAAUAAAUCAAACCUUGGUCUUUGGUGUUUGUAGUUUCACUGAUAUUGAUGCUUUUGUGGCCCAUUUCAAGCUACUGAAUGGUAUCGCUGAAGGUGUGGUUGGGAAAAGAUGCCUGAUUACAUGUCAGUAGCUAACAUACUUCACAGAUACCAUAGGGACUCUAAGUAGCUAAUAGGGAUGUGCAGUAAGAAUUACUAGGAAAUGAUCAUUCUGGGAUAUUUAUUACCUUUCUUUCCAAUAUUGUUUGUUUAAUUGGCAGUUUAUGUACUUUAAUCUUCAGCAAUGCCUGUGUUUAAUAACCAGCUUCUAAAUUUUCUGAAAAUGUGAUAAUUGGCCCUUACGAGCUCCUGUGGGCUGGUUAUGGAACAUUACCUGAAUAGAAGCCAGUUUUCUGAACUCACAGCUAUGUCACAGAAUUAUGUCCCUGCUAUUAUGUGGGAAUACAAAUAAAUAAGCACAUUUUCAUUUUUGCAUACAAAUACAGCUAUCCAGUAACUAACAAAUGUGGACGCCAGAGUUGAGAGGGAUUCCUAAACAGGCAAGUUGGAUGGCAUCGAGAGGCUUUCUCUGUCCUGUCUGGGAGACUGUUUCAUAUCAGUGGAUAUUCUGACAUGGACCGGUACCUUGCAUGGAACGCAGCCUGCUGAUUGCAGCCACACUGGUUUUUGAUGCCUUUGCACUCUCCACAAGCUCUGGUAUCCAGCAAUGGUGUGAUGUUGGUUUUUACUUUUCCACUUUUAUACUCGUUUUGUAAAAGGACAUUUAGCUUGCAAUUAAAAUUUGAUGGUGAUGCUGGGUGGUGGUGGUGCACGCCUUUAAUCCCAGCACUUGGGAGGCAGAGGCGGGCGGAUUUCUGAGUUCAAGGCCAGCCUGGUCUACAAAGUGAGUUCCAGGACAGCCAGGGCUACACAGAGAAACCCUGUCUUGAAAAACAAAAAAGACAACAACAACAAAAAAUUUGAUGGUGUUGUAGCUGCUGUGGCUACAGAUUGGAACUCUUUGUGAAAGCUGUGUAUAGGAUUAAAAUUAAUAUUCAGGAGCUAAAAAUUUGAAGCUGUCUGGCAC
Molecule: long non-coding RNA, 1936 nt
Filed under: Mus musculus (house mouse)
Lineage: Eukaryota; Metazoa; Chordata; Mammalia; Rodentia; Muridae
Description: long non-coding RNA chr7:107401112-107403048
Source: RNAcentral